AGUGAACGCUGGCGGUAUGCCUAACACAUGCAAGUCGAACGGCAGCACAGUAAGAGCUUGCUCUUACGGGUGGCGAGUGGCGGACGGGUGAGGAAUACAUCGGAAUCUACUUUUUCGUGGGUGAUAACGGAGGGAAACUUACGCUAAUACCUCAUACGACCUACGGGUGAAAUCAGGAGAUCUUCGGACCUUUCGCGAUUCAAUGAACCGAUGUCGGAUUAGCUAGUUGGCGGGGUAAAGUCCCACCAAGCCGACGGUCCGUAGCUGGUCUGAGAGGAUGGUGAGCCACACUGAAUGAGAGACACGGCACAGACCCAUACGGGAGGCAGGUGUGGGGACUACCGCAAUAUGGGAGAAAGUCUCAUACCGCCAUCCCGCGUGGGAGAAGAAGGCCUUCGGGUUGUAACGCCCUUUUGUUGGAAAAGAAAAGCAGCAGGUUACUACGCAGCUGUUCUGACGGUACACACAGAAUAAGAACCGGAUCAACUCG
This 490-nucleotide ribosomal RNA is filed under the name uncultured bacterium. RNAcentral describes it as "partial 16S ribosomal RNA". It matches the Rfam family "Bacterial small subunit ribosomal RNA", at positions 29 to 505 of the family's 1533-position model. The record is from RNAcentral.